AACGAACGCUGGCGGCAGGCCUAACACAUGCAAGUCGAGCGCCCCGCCAGGGGAGCGGCGGCCGGGUGAGUAACGCGUGGGAAUAUGCCCUUUGCUACGGAAUAGUCUCGGGAAACUGGGGGUAAUACCGUAUACGCCCUUUGGGGGAAAGAUUUAUCGGCGAAGGAUUAGCCCGCGUUGGAUUAGGUAGUUGGUGGGGUAAUGGCCUACCAAGCCGACGAUCCAUAGCUGGUUUGAGAGGAUGAUCAGCCACACUGGGACUGAGACACGGCCCAGACUCCUACGGGAGGCAGCAGUGGGGAAUCUUAGACAAUGGGGGCAACCCUGAUCUAGCCAUGCCGCGUGAGUGAUGAAGGCCUUAGGGUUGUAAAGCUCUUUCAGCUGGGAAGAUAAUGACGGUACCAGCAGAAGAAGCCCCGGCUAACUCCGUG
RNAcentral lists this ribosomal RNA (431 nucleotides) under uncultured bacterium. RNAcentral describes it as "partial 16S ribosomal RNA". It matches the Rfam family "Bacterial small subunit ribosomal RNA", at positions 29 to 507 of the family's 1533-position model. The record is from RNAcentral.